CGCGGUGCACCACGGGCGCGCACCACUGGGCGGCAUGGAGGAGCGCGGCGAUUCCGAGCCGACCCCGGGCUGCAGCGGUCUGGGCCCCGGCGGCCCUCGCAGCGGCGGCGGCGCCCACUCAUGGGCCCCCGAGGACGCCUGGAUGGGCACCCACCCAAAGUAUUUAGAAAUGAUGGAAUUGGACAUAGGAGAUGCCACCCAAGUUUAUAUAGCAUUCUUGGUUUACCUGGACCUCAUGGAGAGUAAAAGUUGGCAUGAAGUGAACUGUGUGGGAUUACCAGAUCUGCAGCUCAUCUGCCUUGUGGGUACUGAGAUAGAAGGAGAAGGGUUACAGACUGUGGUGCCUACCUCCAUCAGCGCUUCCCUCAGCCAUAACAGAUGUGGAGUCCUUACCCUGGGAAUCAGGUCAACAGAGCCUCCGCCUUCUGGAAUGUUGUCAGUUCCAGUGGCAGGAAGAAGCAAGUGCUGUAAUGUCUGCAAUAAAAAAACGCUUCGACCAGAAGAAACAUACGACACCCCUGCCCACAUUUUAUUGGCCAAAGCAAAUCACAUGGUUGGCCAUUACCAACUUCAAAAAGGAGAGGACGUGCAAUUCUACCAUGUUCCUGGGUUGAGGAGAAGGACUAGUCAAAGAACAGCAUUUCCAGGGCCGUCUUUGUGACACCGUAGUCCAUAGGAAUCACCUUGGCUGCAAGGAAACAGAAUACCGGACAAACAGUGGCUCAGACAAGGAGGGAUCUACUUUCUGAGGGUGAGUAAUAUAGUAGCAGGUUAUCAGGAUUCCACAUUGACUCAUCUGUCACUCUCUGGUCUCUCCCUUCUGGAAGCAAGAUCACCAUCUUAGCCCCUUCACACAACAACAUCCAAACGGAGACUAAGAGAAAGUUCAUCUCAGUAGAGUUCUUUUUUUUUUUUUUUUAAUCAGGAGGAAAUCCUUCCCAAACGUAUACCCACUAGGAGAUUUCCCCUGAGUACCAUGGGCCAGGAUAGGGUCACGUGCCCAUGGUUUACCUGCCACGAAACUGGGAAAGUGAGUCACUGGCCUCUAUAGGUGCAGUGGGCUUUGUGUGCAAGGAAGAAGGAAGGAAAAGCUGAUGGAUAGUCAACCACUCUAGGGACUAAAUGUAUGUGUCCCCCCCCGACACAUUCAUAGGUUGAAACACUAUCUCCCGAUGUGAUGGUAUUAGGAGACAGGGCCUGUGGGAAGUACUUAGGAUCAGAUGAGGUCAUGAGGAUGGAGUGGGAUUGGUGCCCUUAUGAAAGUCACAACAGAGCUUGCUUCCUCUCUGCUCUUCCUACCAUGUGAGGACACAAGGGGACGUCUGCAGCCCAGAAGAGGACCUGACCACACUGGCACCCUCAUCUUGGACUUCCAGCCUCCAGAACUGUCAAUCCCAAGAUUUUCCACUUGCUUCAGCCUGUGGGGCUCUCUCUGUUCUGGGCUCAGAGUGCACAGAGUCCUGGACUUUCCCGCCCAUUGGCCCUUGUGGAUACUGUCUUGGGCCAUAUCGAGUUUGUCCUCUAGGAUGUUGUCUCUGCUGGGGGUUUGUUCUGCACUCAACCUCUGUGGCCCUUAGCCUGACAGGUAGGCCAUUCUCCUCUCUUGCUUCGCAGUCCCCCCAAGGGCCUAUUAAGUUCCUGGUGGGCAUAUAAGUAUAUGUAGAAGAAGAAAGUGUAAGGUGGCAUCAAUGAAUCGGAUUGUUAGCAGGAAGUGAUUGUGAGAAGCAGCAUAAAAUCUCUAUGACUAUCAUUAACUGCAAAUUAUAAUUAUAUCAUCUAAGGCAAAUGGUUCCCUCAGUGUCGACAUUUUUAUUUAUUUUUAAAUAGUUCAUUCUGAAUGUCUAGAUGCUGUUGAGAAAUUAAUCAGGGACCAACUGACCAGGGUAAGCAGUUAUCAGGAAGAUUCAUCCACUCAAUAUCUUUUCCUUGCCUGGUCAUAUCUGAUCCAGUGUUAUUGCUUCAACGUUUAUUUUAAACUUGGUCAAAAGUUAAUGGAACAAAGCGGAAGCACUGAGCUCAUUUGAUUUGGGACAAGAGUAGAGUUUAAGUGUAAUUCUCUGCAGGGUGGGGGGACUUCUAUUCCCUGUGUCAAGCAUGAUAUAAUUUAAUAAUUUAGUCUAAAGUUCUUAAAAACUUGGGAGUAAGUUCUAAAGGUGUUUUCUAUUUUGCAGGGAUAGGAAUAUGGAACGCCUGUGGAGAGUUCAGAGUGUGCCGAGCACAGUGCUUUACGUUAUAUCCUGGUGUCACCACUGCGAGGUGCGUUUUCUCAAGAUCACACAGCUAGUGAGAAAUAGGCUCAAGAUUCAAAGUGUGGUCCCCAGCGAGUGCUCCGUGUUUCUUCUCUACCCUGGGGACACGAUGGUUGGAAGCAGGACAAGGCCACGCGCAGCGUCAGAUGGCAGAUCUGACGUGUGCAGAUCUGAAGGGUGCAGAUGGCAGAUAGUGGGCAGAUAGAGCCACCGGCCACGUUAGCCUCUAAUCUGUUGGAUGAAGUUAGGUGACUCACAUAAACUCCUCAAGGUUUCACCUCCGGUAAAGCAGAAGGGACUCCUGUUUUUUUCCUACUGCCUUUGUGAGGGCAUGCUGGAUAAUGGCUGUGAAUGUUCUUUGACAGCCAUCCAUGAAGCCCUAUAGAAACGGAGAGACUUACUCCUUUGCAUUGUAAUUGUUAUGACGAUAUGGCAAGAUUCUCAUACUUAAAACAGGAGACGUGCAAGAGCUGCUCUGAGACCAGGAUAGCCGCCACUGUGGCUGGGACCGCGAUGCUGGUGAUGAGACCCUGCAUAUUUAAAAUGAUGCUGAGAAAAGAGGAGG
RNA transcript from Hipposideros armiger (great roundleaf bat), 2814 nucleotides. It is a transcript of the gene named tRNA splicing endonuclease subunit 15, with no coding region annotated. The transcript is spliced from 8 exons. NCBI's taxonomy places the organism in Eukaryota, Metazoa, Chordata, Mammalia, Chiroptera, Hipposideridae. The record is from RefSeq and is a predicted model, not a curated record.